UUAGAUACCCUACUAUGCUUGGCAGAAACAAGGCCGAGACAGACACUUUGGCCCGCCAGAUUAUUACAAGUAAAAACUUAAAACUCAAAGGACUUGACGGUGUCCCACAUACAACCUAGAGGAGCCUGUCCUAUAAUCGAUAACCCACGAAUGACCUAACCACUUUUUGCCCAACAGCCUAUAUACCGCCGUCGAAAGUCCACCCUACGAAGGAAGUAAAGUGAACAAAAUAGCCCAACACUAAUACGUCAGGUCAAGGUGUAGUUAAUAAAGUGGUCAGAGAUGGGCUACAUUUCUUUUUAAAGGAAAAACGAAUGAUUAAAUGAAACCUUAAUCAGAAGGAGGAUUUAGUAGUAAAACAGGAUCAGCACGCCUGCUUGAACACACUGCCCUGGGACGCGUACACACCGCCCGUCACCCCCAUCAUAUACACCCAAAACCCAUAAAUAAAAACACAGUAUAAUAGAGAUUGGGUAAGUCGUAAC
RNAcentral lists this ribosomal RNA (485 nucleotides) under Amerotyphlops paucisquamus. RNAcentral's name for it is "partial small subunit ribosomal RNA". It matches the Rfam family "Bacterial small subunit ribosomal RNA", at positions 778 to 1492 of the family's 1533-position model. The record is from RNAcentral. Lineage: Eukaryota; Metazoa; Chordata; Lepidosauria; Squamata; Typhlopidae.